Molecule: long non-coding RNA, 2537 nt
Organism: Oncorhynchus tshawytscha (Chinook salmon)
Lineage: Eukaryota; Metazoa; Chordata; Actinopteri; Salmoniformes; Salmonidae
Exons: 2
Source: RefSeq, a predicted model, not a curated record
CUGUUCUUAAAUUCUGUAUGUUGCUAAGUCUUAACCUAAAAAAGGUUUUAGGAGUGUAUGUUAAUAAUAUCAUAAUUAAUGAUUUAUUUUAUUUUUAUUUUAGUCGUCUAUGGUGGGAAGGCGGUAUCAGAUCAACAAUGAGCAGCUUGAGUUCCUCAUAGAUUGUCAUAUGGGCUAUCAGACAAAUGGCAGCUGUUCUUAAUGUGUCACACUCUGUGGUCAAGUGGCACAUGAGUUAAUUUCAGUUCUUCAGGUCCUACUCACUGUUGUCAGACUCAACUGGAUGAGAGGAUCAAAAGAGCUGAUAGAACAGAAUGAAGAACUUGGUGCUGAGUCUGUGAGGGCACGCUUAAGAGAGGAGGGUGUUGGAGUCCAGCGGGAGAGGGUCAGACAGGGUCUGAUCCAUGUCAACCCCCAGGGAGCUGUGAGGAGAGCCAUGCAGCUGCGGCGGAGGCAGUACAGAGUUGCAGGCCCAAAUUCUUUGUGGCACAUCGAUGGCAACCAUAAGCUGAUCCUGUAAAUGCAUAGACUUAGGCCUCCUGACCUCUACACGUUUUUACAAUCUUAGCAUCGUAAAAACAUUAUGAUUUAUCUUGUUAUAUGGCCAUGAAAGAAUUGUGGCCCUAUUCCCGGGUAUACAGUGCCUUCUGAAAAUAUUCACAGCUUGACUUUUUCCGCAUUUUGUUUUGUUACAACCUGAAUUCAACCACCAUCACCUUUCAAGCCACCACCUCAGCUCCUUCAACCACCAUCUCAGCUCCUUCAACCAGCACCACCACCUCAGCUCCUUCGACCACCACCUCAGCUCCUUCAACCACCACCUCAGGCUCCUUCAACCACCACCUCAGGCUCCUUCAACCACCACCUCAGGCUCCUUCAACCACCACCUCAGGCUCCUUCAACCACCACCUCAGGCUCCUUCAACCACCACCUCAGGCUCCUUCAACCACCACCUCAGGCUCCUUCAACCACCACCUCAGGCUCCUUAAACCACCUCAGGCUCCUUCAACCACCACCACCUCAGGCUCCUUCAACCAUCACCACCUCAGGCUCCUUCAACCACCACCACCUCAGGCUCCUUCAACCAUCACCACCUCAGGCUCCUUCAACCAUCACCACCUCAGGCUCCUUCAACAAUCACCACCUCAGGCUCCUUCAACCACCACCACCUCAGGCUCCUUCAAACAUCACCACCUCAGGCUCCUUCAAACAUCACCACCUCAGGCUCCUUCAACCACCACCACCUCAGCUUCUUCAACCACCACCACCUCAGCUCCUUCCAUAGUUUAGACAGAGCAGUUUAGACAGAACAGUUUAGACAGAGCAACCUUCACAAAAGUUAAGUACAUCUCCAUUCCAGUAUGAUUUUGUUUGAUCAUAUUUGGAGAGAGUAAGGUACUUUUAAGAUAUAUGGCCUAUGGUUGAGGUCAAUUGUAUUUUGCUCUAUGGCACUUUAGCACAACAGUGCAAUCUGCUGACAGAAUAUUUGUCUUCCACUCAGUACAACACGACCCAGGAGAGGCCUACUGCAAUCACUGGAUUGGAGCCUUCAGAGCGUGCCUGCCGUGGGAGGACAACAGAAUAUUCUGAAUGAACAUGAAAACAACUUUACCUUUACCUUUUGGAAUGCCUAAUUGGGACUUUUAGAAAUCGUUUAAAAAACAAUUGUGUGGAAGGUCCUACAGUCUGCUCCUCAAGAUAGGGAUUCUACUGGCUUUUUACUGGACCGGUGGUUCGGCCCCCAUUACAUUUAAAUGUUAUAUAAUUGUGAUUAACAGCAACCUAUUACAGUUAACAACAUAACAUUGUUGACACAUUGUGACAGUUCGAAUGAUGUGGUUGAAGAUGGACUAGUAUGGGACUCUCCAACCCUUUUCCUGGAGCGCUACUGCCCUGCAGGUUAUCGCUCCAAACCUAAUCUAGCGCACCCGAUUCUAAUAAUUGCCUGGUUAAUAAGUUAAUCAGGUUAGUCACAACUGGGGUUGGAUCUCGAAAACCUACAGGAGGGUAUCUCUCCGGGAACAGGCUUGGAGUGAAAAUCCACAGGAGGGUAUCUCUCCGGGAACAGGCUUGGAGUGAAAACCUACAGGAGGGUAUCUCUCCGGGAACAGGCUUGGAGUGAAAACCUACAGGAGGGUAUCUCUCCAAGAACAGGCUUGGAGUGAACCUACAGGAGGGUAUCUCUCCGGGAACAGGCUUGGAGAGCCUUGAACUAGUGGUUCUAGUUCUUAGAGAUCAAAGCAUUUUGAAUUUGAUAAGUCACUACAAACGGUGUGGUUUCCAGAAGUGGAGCCGUCACUUAAUGCAAUGGAUGGGAAACUUUACUUUAUAUACUUCUAAUUAAAGGAGAAUGGUUGAAGUUCAUUUGAUGUCCUAUGUUUAAUAACAAAUGAUCAGAUUUAGAUGAGUUUGCUGCAAUAUGGCAGCAGUACUUCAGUCAACAUCAGUCACUAUCAGCAAAUGAUAAUGGUUAUUAGUGAAGUGUCAGUAAAGUGUUUCUGAAAAACAACUAAACCAUAAAACACCAAGACCAACAA